UAGAGGAAGUAAAAGUCGUAACAAGGUUUCCGUAGGUGAACCUGCGGAAGGAUCAUUAUUGAAUAAGCUUGGUUGGGCUGUUGCUGGUUCUUCGGAGCAUGUGCACGCCUAACACCAACCUUUUACCACCUGUGCACCUUUUGUAGACUUGGAUACCUCUCGAGGAAACUCGGUUUGAGGACUGCUGUGCAUCAAUAGGCCGGCUUUCCUUACAUUUCCGGUCUAUGUCUUUAUAUACCCCAAGUAUGUCUAAGAAUGUUAUUAAUGGGCUUAAUUGCCUUUAAAACUUAUACAACUUUCAACAACGGAUCUCUUGGCUCUCGCAUCGAUGAAGAACGCAGCGAAAUGCGAUAAGUAAUGUGAAUUGCAGAAUUCAGUGAAUCAUCGAAUCUUUGAACGCACCUUGCGCUCCUUGGUAUUCCGAGGAGCAUGCCUGUUUGAGUGACAUGAAAUUCUCAACCUUUUCAGCUUUUUUGGUUGAUCUGGCUUGGAUGGUGGGAGUUUGCGGGCUUCUCAGAAGUCGGCUCUCCUUAAAUGCAUUAGCGGGACCUUUGUUGCCUAGCUUUGGUGUGAUAAUUAUCUACGCCACUGUAAAAGCAGCUCUUAAUGAGGUUCAGCUUCUAAUCGUCGUCUCUUUUGAGACCACUUCUGACAAUUUGACCUCAAAUCAGGUAGGACUACCCGCUGAACUUAAGCAUAUCAAUA
RNAcentral lists this ribosomal RNA (705 nucleotides) under uncultured Tricholoma. RNAcentral describes it as "eukaryotic LSU rRNA". The stretch from base 294 to 447 matches the Rfam family "5.8S ribosomal RNA". The record is from RNAcentral. Lineage: Eukaryota; Fungi; Basidiomycota; Agaricomycetes; Agaricales; Tricholomataceae.